Molecule: ribosomal RNA, 262 nt
Filed under: uncultured bacterium
Lineage: Bacteria
Description: partial 16S ribosomal RNA
Rfam family: Bacterial small subunit ribosomal RNA
Source: RNAcentral
UUAGUGGCGGACGGGUGAGUAACGCGUGGAUAACCUGCCGUAUACCGGGGGAUAACACUUAGAAAUAGGUGCUAAUACCGCAUAAGCGCACGGCUCCGCAUGGGGCAGUGUGAAAAACUCCGGUGGUAUACGAUGGAUCCGCGUCUGAUUAGCUAGUUGGCGGGGUAACGGCCCACCAAGGCAGCGAUCAGUAGCCGGCCUGAGAGGGUGGACGGCCACAUUGGGACUGAGACACGGCCCAAACUCCUACGGAAGGCAGCAG